AUUGAACGCUGGCGGCAUGCCUUACACAUGCAAGUCGAACGGCAGCACGGGGGCAACCCUGGUGGCGAGUGGCGAACGGGUGAGUAACGCAUCGGAAUGUACCCAGUAGUGGGGGAUAACUAGUCGAAAGAUUAGCUAAUACCGCAUACGCACUGAGGUGGAAAGCGGGGGAUCGCAAGACCUCGCGCUAUUGGAGCAGCCGAUGUCCGAUUAGGUAGUUGGUGGGGUAAAGGCCUACCAAGCCUACGAUCGGUAACUGGUCUGAGAGGACGACCAGUCACACUGGGACUGAGACACGGCCCAGACUCCUACGGGAGGCAGCAGUGGGGAAUUUUGGACAAUGGGCGCAAGCCUGAUCCAGCAAUGCCGCGUGUGUGAAGAAGGCCUUCGGGUUGUAAAGCACUUUUGGCGGGAGCGAAACGGCGUUUGCUAAUACCAGACGCUAAUGACGGUACCCGCAGAAUAAGCACCGGCUAACUACGUG
Molecule: ribosomal RNA, 484 nt
Filed under: uncultured bacterium
Lineage: Bacteria
Description: bacterial SSU rRNA
Rfam family: Bacterial small subunit ribosomal RNA
Source: RNAcentral